Molecule: ribosomal RNA, 509 nt
Filed under: uncultured bacterium
Lineage: Bacteria
Description: SSU rRNA
Rfam family: Bacterial small subunit ribosomal RNA
Source: RNAcentral
AGGACGAACGCUGGCGGCGCGCCUAACACAUGCAAGUCGAGCGAUAACCAGGGCUUGCCCUGGGGACAGCGGCGAACGGGUGCGUAACACGUGAGCAACCUGCCCCAAAGACCGGGACAACCCGAGGAAACUCGGACUAAUACCGGAUGCCCUCACCGGGUCGCAUGGUCUGGUGAGGAAAUGGAUUCCGCUUUGGGAUGGGCUCGCGGUCUAUCAGCUUGUUGGUGGGGUAACGGCCUACCAAGGCGACGACGGAUAGCUGGUCUGAGAGGACGAUCAGCCACACUGGGACUGAGACACGGCCCAGACUCCUACGGGAGGCAGCAGUAGGGAAUCUUCCACAAUGGACGAAAGUCUGAUGGAGCAAUGCCGCGUGAGCGAAGAAGGUUUUCGGAUCGUAAAGCUCUGUUGUAAGGGAAGAACACGUACGGGAGUAACUGCCCGUGCCAUGACGGUACCUUAUUAGAAAGCCACGGCUAACUACGUGCCAGCAGCCGCGGUAAUCGUGA